This 262-nucleotide ribosomal RNA is filed under the name uncultured bacterium. RNAcentral's name for it is "partial 16S ribosomal RNA". It matches the Rfam family "Bacterial small subunit ribosomal RNA", at positions 793 to 1055 of the family's 1533-position model. The record is from RNAcentral.
GUCCACGCCGUAAACGGUGGGUGCUAGGUGUGGGAGACUAUCUACGUUUUCCGCGCCGCAGCUAACGCAUUAAGCACCCCGCAUGGGGAGUACGGCCGCAAGGCUAAAACUCAAAGGAAUUGACGGGGGCCCGCACAAGCGGCGGAGCAUGCGGCUUAAUUCGAUGCAACGCGAAGAACCUUACCUAGGCUUGACAUAUACGGGAAGCAGGCAGAGAUGUCUGUGCCUUCGGGCUCGUAUACAGGUGGUGCAUGGCUGUCGU